Molecule: ribosomal RNA, 250 nt
Filed under: uncultured Fibrisoma sp.
Lineage: Bacteria; Pseudomonadati; Bacteroidota; Cytophagia; Cytophagales; Spirosomataceae
Description: partial 16S ribosomal RNA
Rfam family: Bacterial small subunit ribosomal RNA
Source: RNAcentral
UACGGAGGGUGCAAGCGUUGUCCGGAUUUAUUGGGUUUAAAGGGUGCGUAGGUGGUCGUUUAAGUCUGGCCUGAAAGCUGGUUGCUCAACGAUCAGACUGGGUUGGAAACUGGUCGACUUGAAUCAGGUAGCGGUGGCUGGAACGGGUCAUGUAGCGGUGAAAUGCAUAGAUAUGACCCAGAACCCCGAUUGCGAAGGCAGGCCACUGGGCCUUUGAUUGACACUGAGGCACGAGAGCAUGGGGAGCCAA